Molecule: ribosomal RNA, 465 nt
Filed under: uncultured bacterium
Lineage: Bacteria
Description: partial 16S ribosomal RNA
Rfam family: Bacterial small subunit ribosomal RNA
Source: RNAcentral
CCUACGUGAGGCAGCAGUAGGGAAUCUUCCACAAUGGGCGAAAGCCUGAUGGAGCAACGCCACGUGGGUGAAGAAGGUCUUCGGAUCGUAAAACCCUGUUGUUAGAGAAGAAAGUGCGUGAGAGUAACUGUUCACGUUUCGACGGUAUCUAACCAGAAAGCCACGGCUAACUACGUGCCAGCAGCCGCGGUAAUACGUAGGUGGCAAGCGUUAUCCGGAUUUAUUGGGCGUAAAGGGAACGCAGGCGGUCUUUUAAGUCUGAUGUGAAAGCCUUCGGCUUAACCGGAGUAGUGCAUUGGAAACUGGGAGACUUGAGUGCAGAAGAGGAGAGUGGAACUCCAUGGGUAGCGGUGAAAUGCGUAGAUAUAUGGAAGAACACCAGUGGCGAAAGCGGCUCUCUGGUCUGUAACUGACGCUGAGGUUCGAAAGCGUGGGUAGCAAACAGGAUUAGAUACCCGAGUAGUC